GGGUCAGUAGGUUGGUCGUGCCACCGGUACGUACUGGUCUCACUGAUUCCUCCUUCCUGAAGAACCGUAAUGCCAUUAAUUUGGUGUUGCGGGGAAACAGGACUGUUACUUUGAAAAAAUUAGAGUGUUUAAAGCAAGCUAACGCUUGAAUUCAUUAGCAUGGAAUAAUGAAAUUGGACGAUCGAUCCUAUUUUGUUGGUUUCUAGGAUUGACGUA
Molecule: ribosomal RNA, 216 nt
Filed under: Glomeromycotina sp.
Lineage: Eukaryota; Fungi; Glomeromycota
Description: partial small subunit ribosomal RNA
Rfam family: Eukaryotic small subunit ribosomal RNA (bases 40-216)
Source: RNAcentral